This 337-nucleotide ribosomal RNA is filed under the name uncultured Pseudomonadota bacterium. RNAcentral describes it as "bacterial SSU rRNA". It matches the Rfam family "Bacterial small subunit ribosomal RNA", at positions 29 to 351 of the family's 1533-position model. The record is from RNAcentral. Lineage: Bacteria; Pseudomonadati; Pseudomonadota.
AACGAACGCUGGCGGCGUGCCUAACACAUGCAAGUCGAACGGAUUGAAGGGGCUUGCUCCUUCAGUUAGUGGCGCACGGGUGAGUAACGCGUAGAUAAUCUGCCUGAUGAUCUGGGAUAACAGUUCGAAAGGACUGCUAAUACCGGAUAAGCCCACGUGGUCUUUGGAUCGUGCGGGAAAAGGGGGGACCUUCGGGCCUUCUGUCAUCAGAUGAGUCUGCGUACCAUUAGCUAGUUGGUAGGGUAAAGGCCUACCAAGGCUACGAUGGUUAGCUGGUCUGAGAGGAUGAUCAGCCACACUGGAACUGAGACACGGUCCAGACUCCUACGGGUGGCUG